UGUGUGAGUGCAUGUGUGUGAGUGCGAGUGUCACAUCUCGUCCAGAGAGGAUCUUGGUGAGGAGCCGGAGGAGUCUGCACAGGUGGAAGUCAUCUGCCUCAUCAGAGCGGGGGAUUUAGGAGCAGCAGAUCCUUCCUUCAGUGCUAGAUGAUUACGUUCAUCGGGUUUUUGUCUCUCCGCUCGUGAGUUCUCCUGCGAGCACCAGCCUGCCUGCUCCGUUGCUCUCCCCGCCGCAGCUUCACUCCUGCAAGCCUCCGGUUCUCCGAACACCCCCUCCUCGCACUCACCUUCGGACCGCCGAACUACCCUCCACUCAGAAUCCUGGCACCUUCCCCACGCUACAGCAAACCACCGUGAAGUAAGCCCGUUCCACUUCCCUCUCAAAUCUAUCCGUUCACUCCCAGCCGUCUAAACCGCUUUUCAUUCUCACCCCCUCACUGAAGUCCUGCGGAUUGAUAUCUUGUGUCCUGUUGAAAAAUAAAUACUCACUAUUUUUCUAAGAGACGUGUGGUUUCUGCAUGUGGGUCAGAAAGCUAAAACCCAACAUGUCAAUUACCCUAUUUAUAUAAAGCAGAUAAGGGAACAAUGUGAUUGUGUAGAAAAGUGAAAUCCUUCCAAACUCUUUAUAAUAAUUUAAAGCAUUUGUUGUGCAUAUUUUGGCACAGCAAAUUAUGAGCUGCCAAUAUUUUCAUGCCCUGUUUUAUAAAUGAAUAAUUAAAGAGUCAGACAGCAAUAAUGUUGGGUUUUGCAGGGGAGUGGUUUUCUUCUCCUUCACAGGGAGGCAGGCUGAUGAAAUCCAGCUGUUCCUCAUCACCUCCAAUUUGCAAGGUCUUUAAAGAGGAGUAGCUUCCCAGAUUCAGAUGCCAGAUGGUUCCACUUCUACUGUGUGAACCUAUGCUGAACACCCUCUGAGACAGACUCACCUGAAGAAUCUGAUCCUCGCGGCUCCACUGGGCCUUGCACCUGGGUACGUCACCUGCCACACAGCUGCUGCCUCUCCGCCCUCAGACUCCUGCAGGAACCUCUCCACCUGGAAACCACCCCACCACGCCAACUGCUGGAACUCCCAAGUACUCCCCUCUGCCUACCUCUACCCACUGACCGUAAGCUCCCCUCAGGUUACCCCUCGUUCCCUUCAUUUCUUCCCUCUUUAACCGCUUCCUCUUUCAGUUUCCCUGCUGACCUGGUCCCUCCCUGCUGUCGCAGAUCGACGUCCCUCCACACACUUCCCUGUUUAAUAAAUUUAUUAAAACUGUUUGAGUGUUCGUAGUUGUUGCUUGCCUUAGAGUCCUGGAA
Molecule: long non-coding RNA, 1296 nt
Organism: Poeciliopsis prolifica (blackstripe livebearer)
Lineage: Eukaryota; Metazoa; Chordata; Actinopteri; Cyprinodontiformes; Poeciliidae
Exons: 3
Source: RefSeq, a predicted model, not a curated record